GCCGAUGUGGCGGAACUGGUAGACGCGCACGACUCAAAAUCGUGUAGUAGCAAUACUGUGUGGGUUCGAUUCCCUCCUUCGGCA
This 84-nucleotide transfer RNA is filed under the name Candidatus Shapirobacteria bacterium CG2_30_35_20. RNAcentral describes it as "tRNA-Leu". It matches the Rfam family "tRNA". Rfam says of the family: Transfer RNA (tRNA) molecules are approximately 80 nucleotides in length. Their secondary structure includes four short double-helical elements and three loops (D, anti-codon, and T loops). The record is from RNAcentral. RNAcentral also lists the same sequence under 3 other names. Lineage: Bacteria; Candidatus Shapironibacteriota.